GAGAUGUCAUCUGCUCAUUGCUUUCAUUCAACCCGACUCAAAUAGAAAGAUUGUUGAAUUUAGAAGUAUACUCCUCCAUCAUUAAUCCUCUUUGCCUUAUUGAAUGUAGCUUCUCAUACAACUCUAUAGCAUAAUCUGUUGGUAGGAACUGCUUGCGCAAUUUUGCUUUCAUGUAUUUGUAAUGGGCCAAUUUUACCCGGCCUAGAGUAAAAAACAAAACAAAAAAAAAAAAAACAGAUAAAUUAAAAAUAAACAAAUCUUAUAAACCCAAACUAAGCCCAAUAUAUAUCACCUAACCUAAAACCCUAAUACCCAAUAACCCAAAGCCCACAACCUAAACUUUUUCAAAAAAUUAAAAAACCCUAGACCCCCUAUGCGCCACUGCUCCUGGCCACGUCAGUGAAUGCGUCGCCCGAGGACUGCCUCCCCCACCAUCGUUGCACCGAAAUGGCAACGGUGUCACUCUCAUCGUCGUUGACCACAAACACCUACAAAGAAAAAAAGAAAACAAG
RNAcentral lists this long non-coding RNA (512 nucleotides) under Gossypium raimondii (Peruvian cotton). Its description in RNAcentral is "long non-coding RNA (GRAI_LNC000839)". Lineage: Eukaryota; Viridiplantae; Streptophyta; Magnoliopsida; Malvales; Malvaceae. The record is from RNAcentral.